Molecule: ribosomal RNA, 472 nt
Filed under: Staphylococcus aureus
Lineage: Bacteria; Bacillati; Bacillota; Bacilli; Caryophanales; Staphylococcaceae
Description: partial 23S ribosomal RNA
Rfam family: Bacterial large subunit ribosomal RNA
Source: RNAcentral
ACAUCUUAGUACCCGGAGGAAGAGAAAGAAAAUUCGAUUCCCUUAGUAGCGGCGAGCGAAACGGGAAGAGCCCAAACCAACAAGCUUGCUUGUUGGGGUUGUAGGACACUCUAUACGGAGUUACAAAGGACGACAUUAGACGAAUCAUCUGGAAAGAUGAAUCAAAGAAGGUAAUAAUCCUGUAGUCGAAAAUGUUGUCUCUCUUGAGUGGAUCCUGAGUACGACGGAGCACGUGAAAUUCCGUCGGAAUCUGGGAGGACCAUCUCCUAAGGCUAAAUACUCUCUAGUGACCGAUAGUGAACCAGUACCGUGAGGGAAAGGUGAAAAGCACCCCGGAAGGGGAGUGAAAUAGAACCUGAAACCGUGUGCUUACAAGUAGUCAGAGCCCGUUAAUGGGUGAUGGCGUGCCUUUUGUAGAAUGAACCGGCGAGUUACGAUUUGAUGCAAGGUUAAGCAGUAAAUGUGGAGCCGU